Molecule: non-coding RNA, 91 nt
Organism: Lentinula aciculospora
Lineage: Eukaryota; Fungi; Basidiomycota; Agaricomycetes; Agaricales; Omphalotaceae
Source: the annotation of a GenBank genome assembly
GCCUUCUUAGCUCAGGGGUAGAGCGUUUCACUCGUAAGCUUAUGUGUAAGAUUACAUGAAAAGGCCGCUAGUUCGAAUCUGGUAGGAGGCA